RNAcentral lists this ribosomal RNA (496 nucleotides) under uncultured bacterium. RNAcentral describes it as "partial 16S ribosomal RNA". It matches the Rfam family "Bacterial small subunit ribosomal RNA", at positions 28 to 506 of the family's 1533-position model. The record is from RNAcentral.
GAUGAACGCUGGCGGCGUGCCUAAUACAUGCAAGUCGAGCGAACAGACGAGGAGCUUGCUCCUCUGACGUUAGCGGCGGACGGGUGAGUAACACGUGGAUAACCUACCUAUAAGACUGGGAUAACUUCGGGAAACCGGAGCUAAUACCGGAUAAUAUAUUGAACCGCAUGGUUCAAUAGUGAAAGACGGUUUUGCUGUCACUUAUAGAUGGAUCCGCGCCGCAUUAGCUAGUUGGUAAGGUAACGGCUUACCAAGGCAACGAUGCGUAGCCGACCUGAGAGGGUGAUCGGCCACACUGGAACUGAGACACGGUCCAGACUCCUACGGGAGGCAGCAGUAGGGAAUCUUCCGCAAUGGGCGAAAGCUUGACGGAGCAACGCCGCGUGAGUGAUGAAGGUCUUCGGAUCGUAAAACUCUGUUAUUAGGGAAGAACAAAUGUGUAAGUAAUUAUGCACGUCUUGACGGUACCUAAUCAGAAAGCCACGGCUAACUACGU